UAUUAUAACAUAACUUCAACAUGCCGGGAAAAGGCUUGAAUUCUCAAGAACGUGUCCCUGUUGGCAAUCUCAUUGAUUUUUUAAGGCUGAAUGAGAUAAUAAUGGUCUGCUCAUUUCUCUAAAUGCAGUCCAAGAGAGAGUUGCUCAUGCCCUGAAAAUCAGCUUAAGAAUUGUAACCGGCAUCAAAGUGUCCAAAGAUCAAAAUUCGCUGCCUUCAACACCUGGAAAAAAUAAGUCUCGCAGAAAAACCAAAACCCUCGACCCGAAUGAGAAUACUAAAAUAGAGGUUCGGAAUGUAUAUGUAUGCACAAAAGAAACAUGUAAUCAUACAACGGCUUAAAGAAGAGCUAUGCCAAAAAGAAAUAGUUGAUAUAAGCUAUGGAUCUCUACAAACCCUGCUUUGUCAUUUGGAGUUUAAAUACAAGAAAGAUGAUAACCGAAGAGCACUAAUGGAGACACCUAAUAUAGCUUCAAUGAGAGCAGUA
Molecule: long non-coding RNA, 485 nt
Organism: Anthonomus grandis grandis
Lineage: Eukaryota; Metazoa; Arthropoda; Insecta; Coleoptera; Curculionidae
Exons: 3
Source: RefSeq, a predicted model, not a curated record